UACGGAGGGUGCAAGCGCUGUCCGGAUUUAUUGGGUUUAAAGGGUGCGGAGGUGGCCCGUUAAGUCCGGGGUGAAAGCCCACAGCUCAACUGUGGAACUGCCCUGGAUACUGGCGGGUUUGAGAGUCGUCGAGGGUUGCGGAAUGGACGGUGUAGCGGUGAAAUGCAUAGAUACCGUCCAGAACCCUAAUUGCGUAGGCAGCUGCCUAGGCGACAUCUGACACUGAGGCACGAAAGCGUGGGGAGCGAACAGG
This 253-nucleotide ribosomal RNA is filed under the name uncultured bacterium. Its description in RNAcentral is "partial 16S ribosomal RNA". It matches the Rfam family "Bacterial small subunit ribosomal RNA", at positions 524 to 776 of the family's 1533-position model. The record is from RNAcentral.